RNAcentral lists this ribosomal RNA (383 nucleotides) under Neohelix dentifera. RNAcentral's name for it is "partial large subunit ribosomal RNA". It matches the Rfam family "Bacterial large subunit ribosomal RNA", at positions 1860 to 2599 of the family's 2925-position model. The record is from RNAcentral. Lineage: Eukaryota; Metazoa; Mollusca; Gastropoda; Stylommatophora; Polygyridae.
UGCUCCAUGAGAUUAACUUAAAUAGCCGCAGUACCUUGACUGUGCAAAGGUAGCAUAAUCAAUUGUCUUCUAAUUGGAGUCUAGUAUGAAUGAAUGGAUGGGGGGUUACUGUCUCCGUUUGAUUUUUAGAAAUUUUUUAGGAAGUGCAAAUCCUUCCAUAAAGCUAUAAGACGAGAAGACCCUAGAAAUUUGUAGUUAGAUUUUGUUGGGGCGACAAAGUAACAUUUGAACUUACUUAAUAGUUGGAAAUAUAUAUAUAGUACAAUAAAAUUACUCUAGGGAUAACAGCAUAAUUUAUUAAAGUUUGUGACCUCGAUGUUGGACUAGGGAAGAUUUUGAUUAGAAGUUGAAAGGCUAAGUUCUGUUCGAACUGUAAUUCCUAC